This 263-nucleotide long non-coding RNA is filed under the name Homo sapiens (human). RNAcentral's name for it is "HSALNT0221092". The record is from RNAcentral. Lineage: Eukaryota; Metazoa; Chordata; Mammalia; Primates; Hominidae.
CUGACAUGAGAUCAAUUCACUUUCACAAUAUGAUCUUCUAAGAGACAAUAAAUUACACACUUUCUAUUUAGUAUCUAGUCGGCAUCUAAUUGCAUUUUGAUUUGUUUCUUGAUGUGCGGCUGGAGUGCUGAGAAUUGGACAUAGAGGAUACAUUGUGCCACAGUACGGCUUCUGCAGGAUACAGCAAUUAUUAUAAAUGCUGGUGGAUUAACUACUACAGUAUUGCAGCCUGACAAAAUGACACAUCUGUAUUAGAUCACUGG